CAGCGCCGUGAAGAUAGGUUCCUAAGCCCGGAGGACACAAGCCAGAUGGGAAGGUGGUGCUACCAGCCUGGCCUCGCUCCUUCAGGACACAGAGGCUGCGACCCAGGAGGCCCUGGCAGAGUUGAGAAAACCAGCAUUGGGGCAGGGGCCUUGAAGAUCAUCUGGUUCCCGCCUCCAAGCCGAUAGGUGGGGAAGCUGAGGUCUGGAGAGGAGCAGGGACUUGCCCAAAGCACACAGAGAGCCACUCCUGGAAGCUCUUCUGGGCUUGGAUGCUGCCUGAGACGCACACUGAUGACAGCUUGGGAAAAGGAGGGCCACGUCCUAGUUGAGGAGCGUGCCUCUGAGAGAGUGUGCUGUGGCAUCCAUGGCAGCACGUGGGAUCUUAGUCCCCCAACCAGGGAUUGAAGGCGUACCCCCUGCAGUGGGAGUGUGGAGUCUUAACCACUGGACCGCCUGGCAAGUCCCUCUCUGCCCCAUUUGAUAGCCUCUCUGGGACAAGGCUUGAAUCAGCCAGAAGGCCAGGCAGCAGCACUGUUCCUGAGGAGAAACUAAGAGCAACACAAACAUCCAGUAACAGGAGAAUUGAGAAAUCAACCACAGCUCCCACAGCAGCAGGGAGCCGAGUGUGUGGGUGCGCCUGCCUCUCUGCCCCAGAAGAGCAUGGCCUCAGCCCCAGGUCGCCCAGGGCCUCUACGCCCCACCACGUGGUGUCUGUGUGCACGAGGGCCCAUCUGCCCAUCUGUUUCCCUUCCCUCUGCUGUGGGCUCUGCUUCCCCGUGGUCCAAACAACAAGAUCCAGCCCAGAAACAGCAUAUGUUUCCAGCCUCUGCUAGUCCAAGUCAUAAAUCGCCUGGUGUGAUGUGCUCCUUGUGUCAGCUUGUUUCAAAACUCAGGGUGGAGGUGGCUGAAUGAGUGUGAGGAGAAUGCAGGGCCUCCUCCAGGCUGAGAAGCUG
Molecule: long non-coding RNA, 953 nt
Organism: Physeter macrocephalus (sperm whale)
Lineage: Eukaryota; Metazoa; Chordata; Mammalia; Artiodactyla; Physeteridae
Exons: 6
Source: RefSeq, a predicted model, not a curated record